UACGUAGGCGGAAGAUUAAGUCAGUGGUGAAAUCCUGCAGCUUAACUGUAGAACUGUCAUUGAUACUGGUUUUCUUGAAUUUAGUUGAGGUAGGCGGAAUGUGUAAUGUAGCGGUGAAAUGCUUAGAUAUUACACAGAACACCGAUUGCGAAGGCAGCUUACUAAACUAUGAUUGACGCUAAGGUACGAAAGCGUGGGGAGCGAACAGGAUUAGAUACCCUGGUAGUCC
This 229-nucleotide ribosomal RNA is filed under the name uncultured bacterium. RNAcentral's name for it is "partial 16S ribosomal RNA". It matches the Rfam family "Bacterial small subunit ribosomal RNA", at positions 568 to 796 of the family's 1533-position model. The record is from RNAcentral.